GAUGAACGCUGGCGGCGUGCCUAAUACAUGCAAGUCGAGCGAACAGACGAGGAUCUUGCUCCUCUGACGUUAGCGGCGGACGUGUGAGUCACAUGUGUAUAACCUCCCUAUCAGACUGGGAUAUCUUCGGGACACCGGCGCUAAUACGGGAUAAUAUAUUGAACCACGUGGUUCAAUAGUGAAAGUCGGCUUUUCGGUAUCUUCUCGAUGGAUCUCCGCCGCAUUAGCUAGUUGGUAAGGUAACGGCUUAUCACGGCGAGGAUGCGUAGCCGACCUGAGAGGGGGAUCGGCCACCUGAGAACUGAGACACGGACCAGAGUCCUGCGGGAGGCAGCAGAAGGCAAUCGUACGCAAUGGGCGAAAGUCUGACGGAGCAACGCGGCGUGAGUGAUGAAGGUGUUCGGAUCGGAAAACUCGGUUAUUAGGGAAGAACAAAUGUGUAAGUAACUAUGCACGUCUUGACGGUACCGAGUAAGAAAGCCACGGCUAACUACGUG
RNAcentral lists this ribosomal RNA (497 nucleotides) under uncultured bacterium. RNAcentral describes it as "partial 16S ribosomal RNA". It matches the Rfam family "Bacterial small subunit ribosomal RNA", at positions 28 to 507 of the family's 1533-position model. The record is from RNAcentral.